Molecule: ribosomal RNA, 392 nt
Filed under: Sus scrofa (pig)
Lineage: Eukaryota; Metazoa; Chordata; Mammalia; Artiodactyla; Suidae
Also listed under: 1 other name
Description: partial 12S ribosomal RNA
Rfam family: Bacterial small subunit ribosomal RNA
Source: RNAcentral
CUAGCCCUAAACCCAAAUAGUUACAUAACAAAACUAUUCGCCAGAGUACUACUCGCAACUGCCUAAAACUCAAAGGACUUGGCGGUGCUUCACAUCCACCUAGAGGAGCCUGUUCUAUAAUCGAUAAACCCCGAUAGACCUUACCAACCCUUGCCAAUUCAGCCUAUAUACCGCCAUCUUCAGCAAACCCUAAAAAGGAACAAUAGUAAGCACAAUCAUAGCACAUAAAAACGUUAGGUCAAGGUGUAGCUUAUGGGUUGGAAAGAAAUGGGCUACAUUUUCUACAUAAGAAUAUCCACCACACGAAAGUUUUUAUGAAACUAAAAACCAAAGGAGGAUUUAGCAGUAAAUCAAGAAUAGAGUGCUUGAUUGAAUAAGGCCAUGAAGCACGC